RNAcentral lists this ribosomal RNA (858 nucleotides) under Acremonium sp. NZ-2019b. RNAcentral describes it as "partial large subunit ribosomal RNA". Lineage: Eukaryota; Fungi; Ascomycota; Sordariomycetes; Hypocreales; Bionectriaceae. The record is from RNAcentral.
AAACAACAGGGAUUGCCCUAGUAACGGCGAGUGAAGCGGCAACAGCUCAAAUUUGAAAUCUGGCCCUCGGGUCCGAGUUGUAAUUUGUAGAGGAUGUUUCUGGCGACGUGUCUUCCGAGUUCCCUGGAACGGGACGCCAAAGAGGGUGAGAGCCCCGUCCGGUCGUACGCCUAGCCUCUGUGAAACUCCUUCGACGAGUCGAGUAGUUUGGGAAUGCUGCUCUAAAUGGGAGGUAUACGUCUUCUAAAGCUAAAUACCGGCCAGAGACCGAUAGCGCACAAGUAGAGUGAUCGAAAGAUGAAAAGCACUUUGAAAAGAGGGUUAAAUAGUACGUGAAAUUGCUGAAAGGGAAGCGCUCAUGACCAGACUUGGGCUCGGUUAAUCAUCCGGCGUUCUCGCCGGUGCACUUUGCCGGUCCAGGCCAGCAUCAGUUCGCCUCGGGGGAUAAAGGCUUCGGGAAUGUGGCUCCUCCGGGAGUGUUAUAGCCCGUYGUGCAAUACCCUGUGGCGGACUGAGGUACGCGUUCGCAAGGAUGCUGGCGUAAUGGUCAUCAGUGACCCGUCUUGAAACACGGACCAAGGAGUCGUCUUCGUAUGCGAGUGUUCGGGUGUUAAACCCCUACGCGGAAUGAAAGUGAACGUAGGAGAGAGCUUCGGCGCAUCUCCGACCGAUCCUGAUGUUCUCGGAUGGAUUUGAGUAAGAGCAUACGGGGCCGGACCCGAAAGAAGGUGAACUAUGCUUGUMUAGGGUGAAGCCAGAGGAAACUCUGGUGGAGGCUCGCAGCGGUUCUGACGUGCAAAUCGAUCGUCAAAUAUGAGCAUGSGGGCGAAAGACUAAUCGAACCUUCUAGUAGCUGGU